UACGGGGGGGGGGCAAGCGUUGUUCGGAAUUACUGGGCGUAAAGGGUUCGUAGGUGGCCAAUUAAGUCAGACGUGAAAUCCCUCAGCUUAACUGGGGAACUGCGUCUGAGACUGGAUGGCUUGAGUGCAGGAGAGGAACGCGGAAUUCCAGGUGUAGCGGUGAAAUGCGUAGAUAUCUGGAGGAACACCGGUGGCGAAGGCGGCGUUCUGGACUGCAACUGACACUGAGGAACGAAAGCCAGGGGAGCAAACGGG
RNAcentral lists this ribosomal RNA (255 nucleotides) under uncultured bacterium. RNAcentral describes it as "partial 16S ribosomal RNA". It matches the Rfam family "Bacterial small subunit ribosomal RNA", at positions 522 to 776 of the family's 1533-position model. The record is from RNAcentral.